This 207-nucleotide ribosomal RNA is filed under the name uncultured Pseudomonadota bacterium. RNAcentral describes it as "uncultured proteobacterium partial 16S ribosomal RNA". It matches the Rfam family "Bacterial small subunit ribosomal RNA", at positions 568 to 774 of the family's 1533-position model. Lineage: Bacteria; Pseudomonadati; Pseudomonadota. The record is from RNAcentral.
CGUGUAGGCGGCCUGAUAUGUCAGAUGUGAAAGCCCUGGGUUUAACCCAGGAAGUGCAUUUGAAACUGUCAGGCUCGAGUAGGGGAGAGGGAAGUGGAAUUCCUGGUGUAGAGGUGAAAUUCGUAGAUAUCAGGAGGAACACCGGUGGCGAAGGCGACUUCCUGGCCCUAUACUGACGCUGAGACGCGAGAGCGUGGGUAGCAAACA